CUGAAGAGUUUGAUCAUGGCUCAGAUUGAACGCUGGCGGCAGGCUUAACACAUGCAAGUCGAGCGGUAACAGGGGGUGCUUGCACCCCGCUGACGAGCGGCGGACGGGUGAGUAAUGCAUAGGAAACUGCCCAGUAGUGGGGGAUAGCCCGGGGAAACCCGGAUUAAUACCGCGUACGCCCUUCGGGGGAAAGCAGGGGAUCUUCGGACCUUGCGCUAUUGGAUGUGCCUAUGUCGGAUUAGCUAGUUGGUGGGGUAAAGGCCUACCAAGGCGACGAUCCGUAGCUGGUCUGAGAGGAUGAUCAGCCACACUGGGACUGAGACACGGCCCAGACUCCUACGGGAGGCAGCAGUGGGGAAUAUUGGACAAUGGGCGCAAGCCUGAUCCAGCCAUUCCGCGUGCAGGAUGAAGGCCCUCGGGUUGUAAACUGCUUUUGUACGGAACGAAAAGGCUUCUUCUAAUACAGGGAGCUCAUGACGGUACCGUAAGAAUAAGCACCGGCUAACUACGUGCCAG
RNAcentral lists this ribosomal RNA (516 nucleotides) under Chloropicon mariensis. RNAcentral's name for it is "partial Bacterial small subunit ribosomal RNA". It matches the Rfam family "Bacterial small subunit ribosomal RNA", at positions 1 to 511 of the family's 1533-position model. The record is from RNAcentral. Lineage: Eukaryota; Viridiplantae; Chlorophyta; Chloropicophyceae; Chloropicales; Chloropicaceae.